ACGAAGCUUGCCACCUGCCUACUGGGCUGAGCUUUUAAUGUGAUUUACAUUUCUAAGCUCUAUGUAGGUGCCCUGGAAAUGGUGGUCUUCAUUAAUGCAAAGAUUAAGUCUUUAAUUAAACUUUUUAAGAAGAAAACAGUUUCCAACCUAGAUGAGGAAAGCCGAUGGACAGUCCACUAUACUGCCCCAUGGCACCAGCAGGAGAAUGUGUUCCUUCCCACCACAAGACCACCCUGCGUUGAGGACCUGCACCGCCAAGCCAAGCUCAACCUCAAAUCAGUACUGAGGGAAUGCGAUAAGUUGCGGCAUGAUGGCUACCGCAGUUCUCAGUACUACUCUCAGGGACCCACCUUUGCGGCCAACGCCAGCCCAUUCUGUGAUGAUUACCAAGACGAAGAUGAAGAAACAGAUCAAAAGGUUUGAUUGGGCGUGGUGGCUCACACCUGUAAUCCCAGCACUUUGGGAGGCCAA
This 471-nucleotide small RNA is filed under the name Pongo abelii (Sumatran orangutan). Its description in RNAcentral is "processed transcript". The record is from RNAcentral. Lineage: Eukaryota; Metazoa; Chordata; Mammalia; Primates; Hominidae.